RNAcentral lists this non-coding RNA (45 nucleotides) under Schistosoma mattheei. Lineage: Eukaryota; Metazoa; Platyhelminthes; Trematoda; Strigeidida; Schistosomatidae. The record is from RNAcentral.
AUCCAGCUGACGAGUCCCAAAUAAGACGAAACACACGUUCUCAAU